This 275-nucleotide ribosomal RNA is filed under the name uncultured bacterium. RNAcentral's name for it is "partial 16S ribosomal RNA". It matches the Rfam family "Bacterial small subunit ribosomal RNA", at positions 337 to 629 of the family's 1533-position model. The record is from RNAcentral.
UCCUACGGGGGGCAGCAGUGGGGGAUAUUGCACAAUGGGGGGAACCCUGAUGCAGCGACGCCGCGUGGGUGAAGAAGCGCCUCGGCGCGUAAAGCCCUGUCAGCAGGGAAGAAAAUGACGGUACCUGCAGAAGAAGCCCCGGCUAACUACGUGCCAGCAGCCGCGGUAAUACGUAGGGGGCAAGCGUUAUCCGGAUUUACUGGGUGUAAAGGAGGCGCAGACGGCGAUGCAAGCCGGGAGUGAAAGCCCGGGGCCCAACCCCGGGCCUGCUCUCG